AGCUGUCCGUGGGACGUGGAGCAGGGCGGUGGGCGCCCAGGGAGGCUGCUGCGGGGAGAAGCAAAGCGUGACUUCUCCGGAGCAGAAAACUGGGAGACUUCUGGAUGGCACUACUCCCGCUGUGUGGACGCGGCUUAUGAAGCACUUCCCAUCGCCGUCAUUUACUUCUGUGAGCCAUGAAGCUCUCCUGACAUCGACAGGAAAGGCAAGGUUGACUAUGAUCCGUCAAACUCUCUGA
This 238-nucleotide long non-coding RNA is filed under the name Buteo japonicus. RNAcentral's name for it is "lncRNA (ENSBJAG00000015649.1)". The record is from RNAcentral. Lineage: Eukaryota; Metazoa; Chordata; Aves; Accipitriformes; Accipitridae.